GAUGAACGCUGGCGGCGUGCCUAACACAUGCAAGUCGAGCGAACGGACGAGAAGCUUGCUUUUCUGAUGUUAGCGGCGGACGGGUGAGUAACACGUGGAUAACCUACCUAUAAGACUGGGAUAACUUCGGGAAACCGGAGCUAAUACCGGAUAAUAUUUUGAACCGCAUGGUUCAAAAGUGAAAGACGGUCUUGCUGUCACUUAUAGAUGGAUCCGCGCUGCAUUAGCUAGUUGGUAAGGUAACGGCUUACCAAGGCAACGAUGCAUAGCCGACCUGAGAGGGUGAUCGGCCACACUGGAACUGAGACACGGUCCAGACUCCUACGGGAGGCAGCAGUAGGGAAUCUUCCGCAAUGGGCGAAAGCCUGACGGAGCAACGCCGCGUGAGUGGUGAAGGUCUUCGGAUCGUAAAACUCUGUUAUUAGGGAAGAACAUAUGUGUAAGUAACUGUGCACAUCUUGACGGUACCUAAUCAGAAAGCCACGGCUAACUACGUG
This 497-nucleotide ribosomal RNA is filed under the name uncultured bacterium. RNAcentral describes it as "partial 16S ribosomal RNA". It matches the Rfam family "Bacterial small subunit ribosomal RNA", at positions 28 to 507 of the family's 1533-position model. The record is from RNAcentral.